AGAGUUUGAUCCUGGCUCAGAACGAACGCUGGCGGCAGGCUUAACACAUGCAAGUCGAACGAAGUCUUCGGACUUAGUGGCGCACGGGUGAGUAACACGUGGGAAUAUACCUCUUGGUGGGGAAUAACAUCGGGAAACUGAUGCUAAUACCGCAUACGCCCUUCGGGGGAAAGAUUUAUCGCCGAGAGAUUAGCCCGCGUCCGAUUAGCUAGUUGGUGAGGUAAUGGCUCACCAAGGCGACGAUCGGUAGCUGGUCUGAGAGGAUGAUCAGCCACACUGGGACUGAGACACGGCCCAGACUCCUACGGGAGGCAGCAGUGGGGAAUAUUGGACAAUGGGCGAAAGCCUGAUCCAGCCAUGCCGCGUGAGUGAUGAAGGCCUUAGGGUUGUAAAGCUCUUUCACCCACGACGAUGAUGACGGUAGUGGGAGAAGAAGCCCCGGCUAACUUCGUG
RNAcentral lists this ribosomal RNA (453 nucleotides) under uncultured bacterium. RNAcentral describes it as "bacterial SSU rRNA". It matches the Rfam family "Bacterial small subunit ribosomal RNA", at positions 8 to 507 of the family's 1533-position model. The record is from RNAcentral.